This is a non-coding RNA of Pelobates cultripes (western spadefoot toad), 240 nucleotides long. Lineage: Eukaryota; Metazoa; Chordata; Amphibia; Anura; Pelobatidae. The record is from the annotation of a GenBank genome assembly.
AGAUGCUCCAUAUUCACUAUUGGCUGCAAUUAUAAACAUAUAAUAACCUUAAGUUACCCCUCCCACUUCUGUCAAUGACAUUGAUUCAACAUUUGCUUCACCAGAUAUAUGGUGGACUCGUGGAAGAAUUGUCAGAAGGCUCUGGACUGUGGCAGUGUGUUGGCUGUGGCACUAUCGAAAGCUCCUAUCUGUACCAGUAAGGAAUUCUCCUUUCUCGAAUGCAAAAGCUUUGCAUUAUUC